RNAcentral lists this ribosomal RNA (242 nucleotides) under uncultured bacterium. Its description in RNAcentral is "partial 16S ribosomal RNA". It matches the Rfam family "Bacterial small subunit ribosomal RNA", at positions 15 to 249 of the family's 1533-position model. The record is from RNAcentral.
GAUCCUGGCUCAGGAUGAACGCUAGCUACAGGCUUAACACAUGCAAGUCGAGGGGCAGCAUGAACUUAGCUUGCUAAGUUUGAUGGCGACCGGCGCACGGGUGAGUAACACGUAUCCAACCUGCCGAUGACCCGGGGAUAGCCUUUCGAAAGAAAGAUUAAUACCCGAUGGCAUAGUUCUUCCGCAUGGUGGAACUAUUAAAGAAUUUCGGUCAUCGAUGGGGAUGCGUUCCAUUAGGUUGG